RNA transcript from Aethalodelphis obliquidens (Pacific white-sided dolphin), 2417 nucleotides. It is a transcript of the gene named acetoacetyl-CoA synthetase, with no coding region annotated. The transcript has 19 exons. NCBI's taxonomy places the organism in Eukaryota, Metazoa, Chordata, Mammalia, Artiodactyla, Delphinidae. The record is from RefSeq and is a predicted model, not a curated record.
GUUAGGGCUGCAUCUCCUUUAAAAGUUGAUCCACGUCGGCCGCUCCGCUCAGCCCGGUGUCUCGCGGCCCGGUCCCCAUCCCCGCGCAGGCCCGGCCUUUCCGCCGGUCGUCCCCGUCGCAGCCAUGUCCAAGGAGCCGCGGGGUGGGCGGGAGGAGAUCCUGGAGUGCCAGGUGAUGUGGGAGCCUGACAGCAAGAAGAACACGCAGAUGGACCGCUUCCGGGCGGUCGUGGGCGCUGCCUACGGCCUGGCGCUGGAAAAUUAUGAUGACUUAUAUCAUUGGUCAGUUGAGUCAUAUUCGGACUUCUGGGCAGAGUUCUGGAAAUUCAGUGGAAUUGUCUUCUCACACACGUAUGAUGAGGUCGUGGACACGUCCAAAGGGAUUGCGGACGUCCCCGAGUGGUUCAAAGGCAGUCGCCUCAACUACGCAGAAAACCUCCUGCGACACAGGGAAAAUGACGGAGUGGCCCUUUACGUGGCACGGGAAGGCAGGGAGGAGAUCGUGAAGGUGAGUUUUGAAGAGCUGCGGCGACAGGUGGCUUUGUACGCCGCGGCGAUGAGGAAGAUGGGCGUGAGGAGAGGAGACCGGGUCGUCGGUUAUUUACCCAACAGUGCGCACGCCGUGGAGGCCAUGCUGGCGGCCACGAGCAUUGGCGCCAUCUGGAGCUCCACGUCCCCAGACUUCGGCGUGAACGGCGUUCUGGACCGGUUUUCUCAGAUUCAGCCAAAGCUCAUCUUCUCCGUGGAGGCCGUCGUGUACAAUGGCAAGGAGCACGACCACGUGGACAAGCUGCAGCAGGUCGUUAGAGGACUAGCAGACCUGAAAAAAGUGGUGGUGAUUCCUUACGUUUCCUCCAGAGAGAAGAUAGACAUUUCCAAGAUUCCAAAUAGCGUGUUCCUGGAGGACUUCCUGGCCACUGGGCAAGGUGCGCAAGCCCCUCAGCUGGAGUUCGAGCAGCUGCCCUUCAGCCACCCGCUCUUCAUCAUGUUUUCGUCGGGCACGACCGGAGCGCCCAAGUGCAUGGUGCACUCGGUCGGGGGGACCCUCAUCCAGCACCUGAAGGAGCACAUUCUUCACGGCAACAUGACCAGCAGUGACAUCAUCCUGUAUUACACCACGCUGCAGGCUUUCCUUCUAUCCCCCUCCACCAUCGUGAACAGUGAGUGGUGCUGGGUCCCCGCCAGGCUCUGUCAGGCUCCGGCCCUUUCAGACAGGAAGCCCAGCCCUGGGGCGUUAAUGGAGCAGCGUUUUGAAUUGCAGAACCCCACCCCCGGGGCAGCCACAGCUGCGCUGACCUCCAACUCAGCUGCCUCCCUGGGACACGGUCGGCUGGAUGAUGUGGAACUGGAUGGUGUCUGCUCUCGCCACGGGGGCGGCCGUGGUCCUAUACGACGGCUCCCCGCUGGUGCCCACCCCCAAUGUGCUCUGGGACCUGGUCGACAGGAUCGGCAUCACCAUCCUUGGAACGGGUGCGAAGUGGCUGUCAGUGCUGGAAGAGAAAGACGUGAAGCCAGUGGAAACUCACAGUCUGCAGACGCUGCGCACGAUCCUGUCCACCGGCUCCCCCCUGAGCGCCCAGAGCUACGACUAUGUCUACAGGUGCGUCAAGAGCAGCGUCCUCCUGGGCUCCAUCUCAGGUGGCACCGACAUCAUGUCUUGCUUCGUGGGCCAGAAUCCUUCAAUUCCUGUGUACAAAGGGGAAAUUCAGGCCCGGAACCUGGGCAUGGCCGUGGAGGUGUGGAACGAGGAAGGAAAGGCAGUCUGGGGGGAGAGCGGUGAACUGGUGUGUACCAAGCCGCUCCCCUGUCAGCCCACGCACUUUUGGAACGACGAGAACGGCAGCAAGUACCGGAAGGCGUAUUUCUCCAAAUUCCCAGGUGUCUGGGUGCACGGCGACUACUGCAGAAUCAACCCCAAGACCAGGGGCGUCAUCAUGCUGGGCCGAAGCGACAGCACACUCAACCCCAACGGAGUGCGAUUCGGCAGCUCGGAAAUCUAUAACAUCGUGGAGGCCUUCAAGGAGGUCCUGGACAGCCUGUGUGUCCCCCAGUACAACAAGGACGGGCAGGAGAGGGUGAUCCUCUUCCUGAAGAUGGCUUCCGGCCACACCUUCCGGCCCGACCUGGUGAAGAGGAUCUGCAGCGCCAUCCGCCUGGGCCUGUCCGCCCGGCACGUGCCCAGCCUCGUCCUGGAGACCCAGGGCAUCCCGUACACCCUCAACGGCAAGAAAGUGGAAAUGGCCGUGAAGCAGAUCAUCGCUGGGAAAACCGUGGAGCACCACAAAGCCUUCUCGAACCCCGAGACCCUGGAUUUGUACCGGGACGUCCCCGAGCUGCAGGACUUUUGAACCAGGCCAGCUGGCACGUCCCUGAGCCACACACGUCUGUACUGUCACUUCUGUGCGUUCAAGAAGUUA